Molecule: non-coding RNA, 195 nt
Organism: Vicia faba (fava bean)
Lineage: Eukaryota; Viridiplantae; Streptophyta; Magnoliopsida; Fabales; Fabaceae
Source: the annotation of a GenBank genome assembly
AUGUUAAAUUUGCUUAGGAUGAAAACCGCUCCUCCGUGCGGAGGGUCACCACUUAAACAAAAGAUUUUCCAUGAAGAAUCUGGACAUGCUCAGCAUACUGAGAAUUAUACUUAUAAGAAAAUGAUAAAUAGCCAACUAGAAAGCACACUUCUCAUAAAAAAAACUAACUGUCACAAGCUUAAACAAAGGGAAUAG